Molecule: ribosomal RNA, 465 nt
Filed under: uncultured bacterium
Lineage: Bacteria
Description: partial 16S ribosomal RNA
Rfam family: Bacterial small subunit ribosomal RNA
Source: RNAcentral
CCUACGGGAGGCAGCAGUAGGGAAUCUUCCACAAUGGGCGAAAGCCUGAUGGAGCAACGCCGCGUGGGUGAAGAAGGUCUUCGGAUCGUAAAACCCUGUUGUUAGAGAAGAAAGUGCGUGAGAGUAACUGUUCACGUUUCGACGGUAUCUAACCAGAAAGCCACGGCUAACUACGUGCCAGCAGCCGCGGUAAUACGUAGGUGGCAAGCGUUAUCCGGAUUUAUUGGGCGUAAAGGGAACGCAGGCGGUCUUUUAAGUCUGAUGUGAAAGCCUUCGGCUUAACCGGAGUAGUGCAUUGGAAACUGGGGGACUUGAGGGCAGAAGAGGAGAGUGGAACUCGAUGUGUAGCGGUGAAAGGCGUAGAUAUAUGGAAGAAAACCAGUGGCGAAAGCGGCUCUCUGGUCUGUAACUGACGCUGAGGUUCGAAAGCGUGGGUAGCAAACAGGAUUAGAUACCCUAGUAGUC